Molecule: long non-coding RNA, 5427 nt
Organism: Orcinus orca (killer whale)
Lineage: Eukaryota; Metazoa; Chordata; Mammalia; Artiodactyla; Delphinidae
Exons: 3
Source: RefSeq, a predicted model, not a curated record
CAGUGGGGCAGACGGACCAUGGAGUGUGUGUCUGAGUGGAGGGAGAUGGUGGAUCAUGGCAGGGCUGGUGGCGAAGAGGACACUGGGAAAUCUGUCAAGGCUGCCCUGGUGAGCGGAUCAGGGAGAGACCACCGGUUUUUCUAUAUCUUCUAAAAUGUCUGCAAUGACUGUAUGCCUGUGUAAUCAGCCUUCUGCUUCGUGCCAUGUGUCUCUUGGAUGAUGGAAGAGACCUUGCACGCACCCGAUGCCUGUGGUCUGAGAAGCAGAGCUCGGUGAGGACCACCAGGAAAGGAAGUGUGGAUAGAGCAAUUUCAAGUUUUGAGCAUCAAAUGGAAUUUUCACUGGCUUGCGGGUAGUGUGGAAAUUAUUGGUAGGUCUGAUUAUUAUUUAACCUGAUCCUGUCCUUCAUGUUUGAGAGGAUACUGAGAGGGGAAACACACAGUUUCUUUUGAAUCUGAGAGCAAAGGCUCUCUUUUGAAGGCUGCUGUAUUUGCCUCAACUGCAGCAAAUUAAUGCAAUCCCAUGAAAAUUCUUCAUUGUGAGGGAUGGUGACAAGUGAUCAGCAUGUGCCUUUGAGGAAAGGGAUUUUGAUCACACUGAAAUAAACAUCUCUCCCUUAAAUUUUCUGUAAUUAAAAAAACUCGCAUGUUACUUGGGCAUUUUACUUGGGAGUCUUAAAAUUCUUCUAAAAUGCUUCUUGUUGCACUUAGUGACACUACAAAGUAUCUGGCUUAAUUAACCAAUGGAUACGCUUCAUUCUAAACUCCUUGUGAAUCAUGAUCCUGCUUCGUCCAAGGCUAGAUUCACAUCCGGUAGGGAGUCUUCAACUGAAUCGUUUGGCACACUGUUUUCGCUUUUUACGUGUGGUUUUGAACAGCGGUUGUCCUUAGAAUUGAAAUAGCUUAUCUGAAUUCUAAGCAAAAUGCCAGGCGUCCUAGAAGCGAACUUCCUCUGACAGACAGUUCCAGGAAACAUGACUCAUCUGCCCAGGAAGUGUGCCGUGGAAGUGCUAUGAUAACAGAGUCAGUGCAGAUCAAUCGCUGCUAAGACACCAGAUCUCCUCUGCUUCUCUGCAUUUCUCCAGCCAGCAAACAGGAUUUUAACUACUGCACUCUUCGAUUCAGAUACCCAGGCCCUGUGGCUUUUGGAGGAAAUCUGUGAGGCCAGGGAAAGGGAGCCCUGCUUUCAACAGGUGGGGCCAAUCUACGCUAAUCACGCUGGGAAGGCUGUUUUGGAAAUCAAAUAACCCAUGAAAUUGUGUUUAUGUUGAAGAAAAUGAUAAAUAAUAUUUAUUAGCACUUACUCUGUACUGAGUAUCACUCUAAGCCCUUUCCAUGUUAUUACCUAAUAAAAUUAAAAUUCCUAGAGGCUUCCCUGGUGGCACAGUGGUUAAGAAUUCUCCUGCCAAUUCAGGGGACACGGGUUCGAGCCCUGGUCCGGGAAGAUCCCACAUGCGGCGGAGCAACUAAGCCCGUGCGCCACAACUACUGAGCCUGUGCUCUAGAGCCUGCGAGCCACAGCUACUGAGCCCGUGCGCCACAACUACUGAGCCUGCACUCUAGAGCCUGUGCUCCGCAACAAGAGAAGCCACGGCAAUGAGAAGCCCGCGCACCGCAACAAAGAGUAGCCCCCGAUCGCCGCAACUAGAGAAAAGCCCAUGUGCUGCAACAAAGACCCAAUGCAGCCAAAAAUAAAAAUAUAUAAAUAAAUUUAUUUUUUUAAAUAAUAAAAUAAAAUUCCUAGCAGCUCUAUGAUGCAGAUAACAUUUUUAUCCCCAUUUUAGAAUUCUGGAAACAGGUAUAGAGAGGUAAUUCAGCAUUUUGAAAGGCAUCAACAACUCGAGAAGAAUUGUUCUUGUUUCCUUCCUUGGUAAUUAUUUUUUUAAAAAAAGAAUUGUUAAAUUCAAAAAUACAGCAAAGUCCUUAUUCUCUGUGAUAACAGAGAGUAACACAAAUAAUUUUUUAAGUAACAGUGAUAAUACCCAAAACUCCUGUUAUUCAAUGGAAUCAACAUUUUCUUCACUAUAUUUCUUAAUAGAGCUUGGAAUAAAAUAAGUGGACCAAAAUGUUGGCUUUCUCAUUUAUCAUUUACCCUUUGUGAGAAUUGUCAAAUGCAUUAGUGAAGCAGGCUGUAGACAGAAAGCAAGAGGAAAAUUAAAUGUCUUGAGAAAUGAACCGUUAUUUAUAUCUCAGCCUAAAGAACUGAACGCUCUCUAUUUAGGAAUUUCUUUAUACCUAACUAAGGUGCUGGGGCAAAUAAUGACAUUAUGUGGGCUUCCCUGGUGGCGCAGUGGUUGAGAGACCGCCUGCCGAUGCAGGGGACACGGGUUCAUGCCCCGGUCCGGGAGGAUCCCACAUGCCGCGGAGCGGCUGGGCCCGUGAGCCAUGGCCGCUGAGCCUGUGCGUCCGGAGCCUGUGCUCUGCAAUGGGAGAGGCCACAACGGUGAGAGGCCCGCGUACCGCAAAAAAGGAAAAAAAAAAUAAAUGACAUUAUGUAAGUGUUUACUAUGUGCCAGUCUCUUUAUAUAUAAAAACUCUUUUGUGCCGACUAUCCCAUUUUACAGAUGGGGAAAGUGGGCCACUUAGAAGCUAAAUAACUUGCUCAACAUUUCCUGGCUAGUUAGUGGCGAAGUCCGGGUUUAAACCCAGGCUACCUGGCUCAGAAUCUAUACUAUACCAAACUAAACAGGUGCCGAGACUACUGAGCAAGAUUUCAUGUUCUAUUAUGGAGACUGAGUGCCUGCGAGACAUCCUCCAGUGAGUGAGCAAGGUGAGGUGCUAAAUCUUCGUUUCUUAUUAACAUCCACAAUAGCCUGCAGAUAGAAGAGAGCUGGCCUGAGCAGUUCAAAUUCCAGGGAACGCCCCAAGAACAACAGAAGGAUCAGCGCCUGGAGCCGCUUCCAACUGUGGUUUACCUUUAAACCAAAACGUUGGGAAACUGAGGUCAUUGUGUGUGAGAUCUGUACAGAAUCAGCUGUGUCUUCAAGAGACCAGCAGUGAUGAAAUCACAGACAUCUGUGGACACUUUGCUCAUUAGAGAGGAUGCAAAGUCUUUAAAAGGAUAAAAGAAGUCAAAGUCCUCCCAAGAGCUGAAUGGUGGAGGAAGGACACUUGGAAGAGAAAGAGAACAGACUCUGAACUUUUGGAGCCAAACAGACCCAGGCUGUGCCUGGGAGUGGAAGUCAGACCUCAGGAGGGAGGAACGGCCACUCAUAACCGACGAGUCACGAGGAAGGGAGACGACUCGUCCAAGAGAUGGAGAGACAGCGUCCUGAAAGGUAGGAGGAAGAAUCUGAAUGGCCAAGAGGGAGUUAUCCUCUCUGUGGGGUGAGCAUGGGGGAGGAAUAAUAAACAUUUCUGGAGUACUCAUACUUGCCAGCUGUGCAGAUCACUUCAUUUGAUCUUAUAACAACUUCGUGAGUAGUUGUAAGUAUGUUUGCCAUUUAAUACAUGAGGAAGCCGAGGAAGCCAGAGGUUAACUUCUGUACCCAAGGUCACAGCCAGUGAGAAAGAGGAAAGCUUUGAACCCAAGUGGACUUCAGAGCCUGCCGGUUAUUGCGACCUGGGUCCAUCACCUCCUGGCAGUGUGAUCUUAGAGUGAGUAUUGUUGCUUACCUGUGGCCCAGUCCUCCUGUCUGUGAAUGACCACAAAACCACCCAAUUGCUAAAUUAUCCUGAAGAUAAGCAAUAAUUAUCUAUCAAGGUGUCUAUAAGAGUGGCUGGCACAUAGUAGACAUUGAUUACUGUGAUUCUUUUUUUUAAAAUUUUUACUGGAGUACAGCUGAUUUAAAAUGUGUUAUGAUUACUGUAAUUCUCAAAAGAGACGUUUGAGAUGUGAAGGAGAAUUUUAUAAUCUCUCAUGAACUUGAACAUUUUGCUUCUUUGUAUGAGAAUAAAAAUGGGAAAAAGAUUUUGGAAAACAUCUCUAGAAUAAUGUUUCCCUAAGAAUGUUCUGUGGAUUACAAAUGUCCAAUAGGUGUUAGAAUUCUGGGCCAAGAUGGAAUCCAUCUGGAAUGUUGCCUUUCGUGUCCCCGAGUGUCUCCACCCUGAGGGAGGCCCCUCUGCCUCUCCUGGUUGUUGCUCUGCACGCAGUUCUAUCAGGCUGUAUCCUGAUGUCUUUCUUUUCAUUGUGUUACCACGCCCACUCCAUCCAGUGUUCGUCCAGUGCGGUUGAUUCUACCCCCCAGGUGCUCUCACAUCCCCUGUCGUUGACACAUUCUCCCUCCACAGCCGUGUGAAGGGCUGGCCAUCUCGCACCCGAGCUGCAACAAUCCUCUUUCUGAAUCUCCAAAGUUCCUCUUACCCCUCCCACUUAUCCUCGAAUCCAGAGUGUGGCAAAGCGCCAAUCCAGCACACUGUCUCUGCUCACUCUUGGAAGAUCUCUUGCUGCCCCAAGCGGUCACUGGAACUCUGCACCUGCGCACAGGGCUCUAACCUGCAGGUCCCUGCCCAGCUGGGAGCCGCAGCCUUGGCCUCAGACACGCUGUGUCCUUUCGGUUCUGACAGAUGUUCUCCUCGACCCGACUCGAGCCAAGCUCCUCUGAGCCUUCCUCCCAACUAAGCCUCAGCCUUGGCCUAUAAGGAAUGCAGAGUCUCAGCGCAGAUGAUCUCAUCCACUUUUUCUCCCCAAAUCAAAGCACCGAAACAAACACGAAUGUAGUUUCUAACAGCUCAAGGCCACAUCCCCAGGAUGACCCCAGGCCCCCUCCAAGUGCCCGCCUGAGAAAGCACAAGGCCGCCUAAAGGAUUUACUGUUUGUUCCAGCCAACACCUGAGGAUAGGCCCCGGACCACCCUUUCUUGGAGCGCAUACUAAAAAGGGCUUAAAAUUGUGACUCCUUCUCCUGUCCUUUUGAGAUGUAUUGUGUAUGUAUCUCCUACAACUCACAGUGUCUUUCUCAAGGAUCUAAACUCCACUCCUUUGAAAUGAAACCAUUAGGAAGGACAGGCCCCUUGCCUCCCAGUCUCUGUGAGAGGAUUGAAUCCUUACCUCCAUCACUGCCAGAUACAGACACAGAGGCCUAACCACGCUCAUAGUGACCAACGCUCGCUAGUUUUUCACAUCCCUGACUCUGCUCGAGGCCCCGCUGGUCCCUUCCCAGCUCCCUGAUUCUCCCUUUAAAACACCCGGUCAUCUCUGUACAAAUUGAAGUUAAGUUCAGUUCAUGCUGGACCUGCUUCCCUAUUGCAGGAGCACAACGCUGAUUAAAAUAUGUUCUUUCCGGGCUUCCCUGGUGGCGCAGUGGUUGAGAGUCCGCCUGCCGAUGCAGGGGACGCGGGUUCGUGCCCUGGUCCGGGAAGAUCCCAUAUGCCGCAGGGCGGCUGGGCCCGUGAGCCAUGGCCGCUGAGCCUGCGCGUCCGGAGCCUGUGCUCCGCAACGGGAGAGGCCACAACAGUGAGAGGCCCGCGUACCGCAAAAAAAAAAAAAA